RNAcentral lists this ribosomal RNA (253 nucleotides) under uncultured bacterium. RNAcentral describes it as "partial 16S ribosomal RNA". It matches the Rfam family "Bacterial small subunit ribosomal RNA", at positions 524 to 776 of the family's 1533-position model. The record is from RNAcentral.
UACGGGGGGGGCAAGCGUUGUUCGGAAUUACUGGGCGUAAAGGGCUCGUAGGCGGCCGACUAAGUCAGACGUGAAAUCCCUCGGCUUAACCGGGGAACUGCGUCUGAUACUGGAUGGCUUGAGGUUGGGAGAGGGAUGCGGAAUUCCAGGUGUAGCGGUGAAAUGCGUAGAUAUCUGGAGGAACACCGGUGGCGAAGGCGGCAUCCUGGACCAAAUCUGACGCUGAGGAGCGAAAGCCAGGGGAGCAAACGGG